CUACGUGCCAGCAGCCGCGGUAAUACGGAGGGUGCGAGCGUUAAUCGGAAUAACUGGGCGUAAAGGGCACGCAGGCGGUGACCUAAGUGAGGUGUGAAAGCCCCGGGCUUAACCUGGGAAUUGCAUUUCAUACUGGGUCGCUAGAGUACUUUAGGGAGGGGUAGAAUUCCACGUGUAGCGGUGAAAUGCGUAGAGAUGUGGAGGAAUACCGAUGGCGAAGGCAGCCUCCUGGGAUAACACUGACGUUCAUGCUCGAAAGCGUGGGUAGCAAACAGGAUUAGAUACCCUGGUAGUCCACGCCCUAAACGAUGUCAAUUAGCUGUUGGGCAACUUGAUUGCUUAGUAGCGUAGCUAACGCGUGAAAUUGACCGCCUGGGGAGUACGGUCGCAAGAUUAAAACUCAAAGGAAUUGACGGGGACCCGCACAAGCGGUGGAUGAUGUGGAUUAAUUCGAUGCAACGCGAAGAACCUUACCUGGUCUUGACAU
This 487-nucleotide ribosomal RNA is filed under the name uncultured bacterium. Its description in RNAcentral is "bacterial SSU rRNA". It matches the Rfam family "Bacterial small subunit ribosomal RNA", at positions 501 to 987 of the family's 1533-position model. The record is from RNAcentral.